UCCUCACACAGGGAUGACUUAUGCUUGGC
Molecule: non-coding RNA, 29 nt
Filed under: Rattus norvegicus (Norway rat)
Lineage: Eukaryota; Metazoa; Chordata; Mammalia; Rodentia; Muridae
Source: RNAcentral